RNAcentral lists this ribosomal RNA (468 nucleotides) under uncultured bacterium. RNAcentral describes it as "partial 16S ribosomal RNA". It matches the Rfam family "Bacterial small subunit ribosomal RNA", at positions 28 to 507 of the family's 1533-position model. The record is from RNAcentral.
GACGAACGCUGGCGGCGUGCUUAACACAUGCAAGUCGAACGGAAAGGCCCUGCUUUUGUGGGGUGCUCGAGUGGCGAACGGGUGAGUAACACGUGAGUAACCUGCCCUUGACUUUGGGAUAACUUCAGGAAACUGGGGCUAAUACCGGAUAGGAGCUCCUGCUGCAUGGUGGGGGUUGGAAAGUUUCGGCGGUUGGGGAUGGACUCGCGGCUUAUCAGCUUGUUGGUGGGGUAGUGGCUUACCAAGGCUUUGACGGGUAGCCGGCCUGAGAGGGUGACCGGGCACAUUGGGACUGAGAUACGGCCCAGACUCCUACGGGAGGCAGCAGUGGGGAAUAUUGCACAAUGGGCGGAAGCCUGAUGCAGCAACGCCGCGUGCGGGAUGACGGCCUUCGGGUUGUAAACCGCUUUCGCCUGUGACGAAGCGUGAGUGACGGUAAUGGGUAAAGAGGCACCGGCUAACUACGUG